UUCCAUUCAGAGGAACUUGCUUCGUGAUCGAUAGUCCUCGUUUUAUCUUUCUUUUCUUAUUUAGUAUGUAUACCGCCGUUAUAGGUUUAUUUUUUUAGAAUUUUAUUUACUAUUAAUUUUAUUAAAUCAUAUUUCAGGUCAAGGUGCAGCUUAUAGUUAAGUGGUAGUGAGUUACAAUAUUAUUUCAAUAAAUGGAUUUUUUUUUUGAAAUUUUUAAUGAAGGUGGAUUUGAUAGUAAUUGUUAUUAUAAAGUUUCUUUGAUUUUGGCUCUAGAACAAGUACACAUCG
Molecule: ribosomal RNA, 288 nt
Filed under: Trachyaretaon sp. 2 SB-2020
Lineage: Eukaryota; Metazoa; Arthropoda; Insecta; Phasmatodea; Heteropterygidae
Description: partial 12S ribosomal RNA
Source: RNAcentral